UUCCAUAAUAGGGAAGGGAAUGGACAAGAGGGUUGAGAUUGGUGCUUGGCCCGUUGUCGUUUGUCAUCUACAGUGCAUCAAUGAUUCGGAUGAUAAUGAGACAGACUGGAUCAGCAAAUCUGCAGAUGACACCAAGAUUGGGGGCUUCGUGGACAGCAAGGAAGGCUGUCAAUUCUUGCAGCAGGAUCUUUUACUUUUUACCUUUUUACUUAUACUUUAUUGUCGCCAAACAAUCGAUACUAGAGCGUACAAUCAUCACAGUGAUAUUUGAUUCUGUGCUUUGCACUCCCUGCAGUACAAAUCAAUAGCCAAGCCUACGUAAUACUACGGUAUUUGACACGUAAUGAGUGUCAGAGAGGAAUUCUGCAGAUGCUGGAAAUUCAAGCAACAUACAUCAAAGUUGCUGGUGAACGCAGCAGGCCAGGCAGCAUCUAUAGGAAGAGGCGCAGUCGACGUUUCAGGCCGAGACCCUUCGUCAGGACUAACUGAAGGAAGAGGACUGUUGUGCAUGAAAAUCCCAGGAGAUCAGCAGUUUCCGAGAUACUCAAGUCACCCCGUCUGGCACCAACAAUCAAUUCCACUGUCAGAAGUCACUUCCAUUCUGAAAUUUGGCCUGAACAACAAAUGAACCUCUUGACCACAUCUGCGUGUGUUGCUGCCAAACGAUUGGCUAGUUAGGUAUUUUAAUUAAUGAGCAGGUGUAACUAAUAAAAUAGCCACUGAGAUAUAUGCCACUGUCAUUACAGCAAAAUAUCUCAAAUUACUUCACGGAAGAAAUAUUAAAUAAAAACUGAUUUAAAAAAAGAAGAAAAAAUUUCAAAUAUUUCAAAUGUUAGGGAGAAUCUUAAAAACGCGGCUAUUACAAUCAGACCUGAUUAAGAUGCCAGAUAACUCUGACAGCUCAGGAGGUUCUGGCAAGUUAGGCCAAGUGCACAUUUGAAGACAAAUACGAUAAUUUUAAAAUAUAGAUCAGCAAGUACAAGGUGAUAGGUAAGCAGAACAAUACAAGUUAGGAUAUGGGCCACACAGAUAUGAAUGACCUCGUUUAUAGAGGACGGUGAGAGAAGUUUGCCUGAAGACCGUUAUUGGAAAAGAAACAUGGGUACAUGUGGUAGCAGAGUAAUUACGUAUGUUUGACCUGACCAGGAAUAGAAACCUGAAGGAAUGAAUCAGAAAAUGUCUUUAAAUCAUAUGAGGAAGCCUACCAAACCUUGAUCCCCUGACUGAUCUCAACACUUCUCUUAUUCUCUAAUUUGCUUUGUUAAUGGAUGUUAGGUUGUCAUCUGAGUCAGAUUAAAGACUGAAAGAACAAUUAGCUUUAUUUGUCACAUUUACAUCGAAUCUCGAUACAGCCGUUUGCAUCCAUUCAAAUCAGCGAGGAUGGUGCUGGCUCCAGCCCACAACUUAAUAACCCUAACUGGUACCUGGAGGAAACCUGCACAGUCACGGGUACAGACAGUGGUGGGAAUUGAACCUCAAUCAAUGAUCGCUGGCACUAACCGUUCCGCCACAUGGAUAACACACGAACUUGUUUUGCUGGCUCAUACUACUACUACGUCGACUCAGGCCUAGGGGGCCUGCAUCGGGCACGAUGACAGACUCUCCACUUCUCCCUCUCCCUCAUCAGUGUGUUCAGUUCAUUGUCUUCUAGGAGCGUGUUGACCAUAGUCUUGGGUUUAUCCUCCCGUGGUUGGGCUCCCACAUAUGGCUCAUUCCCUCAGGCUUAUUCCUAGUCCGUUAUAACGACUCUAGUACCAUGCUCCAAGAUUAGAGACAGGCUAGCUUGUCCCCAGUCUACCAGCCCUAAUUCAUCCAUCUUUGGAAUGUGGGAGGAAACUGGAGCACCUGGAAGAAAUUAAGAGUUAACUUACCCCUGGCUGAUGCUGAGGUACAUCUUAGGAUGCGCUCAGACACGUCAUCAGUGAUGUAACCUGGGGUCAUCAGACACCCUCACCCAGGCGACCCAGCCAGGGUUGACCAGGCCCUGGAUUGUGUACCAGCGGUGGUGAUGCGCGGGUCACACCUCUUGAUCCUUCGCCAUCUGGAGGUUCGUUCAGCAGCCUCUGCGUUGGCCCUGAUGGCUCUUCACUUUACGGCCCCCACAUAAUCCCAAGGAGAGAGUAGGUUCUGCGGAGUCAGCAGCCAGCAAAGGCUCUACCCCCACCCCCUCCGUAAGCUCGCAUUGUGCCCUCCACCUCUGUCUCUGCUACUGCUCUACCAGCUCCUGCUAUUUGGCCCUCUUACACUCAAAAACCUCCUCAAUCCGGACUUCCCAAGGCACUGUCAGUUCUACCAAGACCACCAGCUUCGUGGUUUCUGACAGAGUGAUCACGCCAGGCCCCGGGGAUGAUGAUGCGAUGAAGUGAGGGAACUUUAAUUGCUUUAUACUUUACAAGUUAGUACCACAACCUUGCUUGUCAGUGAAAGUUAACACACCCCAGGGCGAAAGAGAGAACAAGAAACAAAAAGCAGUUUUUGUUUGGUUAGAGGUUUAAUUGGUUGUACCGAAAGAGUUAAAUGGAACAGCAUGCUCUGUCUGAGAUAACCAGAGCUGGCCACUGGUGGCUCGUGUUGAAGCAGCUGAAGUACUUUUUUUACAGCAGUUUAUAAAUAUGGUGACCCUAUUUAAAGGAUGUAGUUCAGACUGUGUCUGCAGUGUCAGCAGACUACAGCUUGGGGCGGCACGGUAGUGUAGUGGUUAGCACAAUGCUUUACAGUACCGGCAACCCAGGUCCACUUCCCACCGCUGUCUGUAAGGGGUUUGUUGGUUCUCCCCGCGACCGCGCGGGUUUCCUCCGGGUGCUCCGGUUUCCUCCCACAGUCCAAGGGUGACCCGGUUGGCAGGUUAAUUGGUCGUUGUGAAUUGUCCCGUGUUUAAGCUAGGGGUAAAUCAGGGGUCACUGGGCAGUACGGCUCGAAGAGCAGGAAGAGCCUAUUCUGUGCUGUAUGUCAAUAAGUAAAUAAACAGAGAGAAAGGACGAGGUCAGUCACUUAAAUCUGCAACAGCUUAGGGUAAGUGUGAAGGGAACUAUUUGAAAGUUGCAUCUCCAUCUGGUAUGGGAGCAGCCGAGCAUCGGACCAGAACUCCCUACAAAGGACAGUGAGAACGACCGAGAGGAUCAUAGGGGUCUCCCUACUAUCCACUGGGAGCAUUUAUCAAGAGCGCUGUGCACGCAGGGUCCUCAGUAUUAUUAAGGUCUCAUCCAUCCAUGAUUCAGCAUCCUCUUUGACUUUCUACCAUCAAGCAGGAGACUCCGAUGCAUAAAAACAAGAACUGACAGGAUGGGAAACAAUUUCUUCCCUCAGGCCAUUAGGCUUCUGAACUUGCCAUAUCAGAAUCAAAGUGUAGCCAGCUAAUCUGUUCUGUGCCUUACAAUAUUUAAUUUAUGCACUUUAUUUAUGCAUAAUUCAUCUGUAGAUUUUAUCCUUACUUUCAUAAAUUAUUGAGUGUUACUGUGCUUUACACCCUGGCUCGGAGAAACAUUGUCUCAUUUGACAGUAUACAUGUAUAUAAUUAAAUGACAAUAAAUUUGAUUUGACUUGAAAUAUAAAAUUUUGCAUUGGCCUUGAGACCAACACAAUGAUGGCAGGAGUGUAUCUUUUAUUAAAAUCUUUUCAGUGAGGCACGACUGUAAGGUAGCAUAGUGGUUAGCAUAACACUUCACAGUGCCAGCGGCUACCGGUCGGAGUUCAAUUCCCACCGCUGGCUAUAAGGAGUUUGUACCUUCUCCCUCUGACCACAUGGGUUUCCUCCGGGUGCUCUGGUUUCCUCCCACAUUCCACAAGUACAUGAGUCAGGGUUAGGGUUAGUAAGUUGCGUGCUGUCACCUGCACAGCCUCAGACUGUGUAGGCCGUUGACACAAACGAUGCAUUUCACUGUAUGUUUCGAUGCGCAUGUGGCAAUUAAAGCUAAUCUUCAAAUUUGGAACGUGGCUCAGUGCAGCUGUUCAUCAGUGGUUAAGGAACGGGGACAGGGGUGGGAUCAUCUCGGGACUCUGCAGUUGUCAAAUUCCUCAUUCCCACCGGCAU
This is a long non-coding RNA of Mobula hypostoma (lesser devil ray), 4030 nucleotides long. RefSeq lists it as uncharacterized. Lineage: Eukaryota; Metazoa; Chordata; Chondrichthyes; Myliobatiformes; Myliobatidae. The record is from RefSeq and is a predicted model, not a curated record. The transcript is spliced from 4 exons.